UUUUUGUGUUAGGAUUCAAUGUACAAUACAAUGGACAGCAAUAUUGCAAUACAAUAACAACAAAUUUGUGUUCGCAUACAUUUAGGGUGCUAGAAUGUCCUCCUUUUAUUCAAAAUAUUGAUGCGUAUCAAAAUUACAGUGUUUUGAUACCUCAUGCUGACUUGUACAACAAAAUAUUUUGACCGCUUCCACCAAAACUGACCAUAUGUGCACUUAAAUUUGUAAAUCUAUAUACCAUCUAUACCC
Molecule: long non-coding RNA, 246 nt
Filed under: Mytilus galloprovincialis (Mediterranean mussel)
Lineage: Eukaryota; Metazoa; Mollusca; Bivalvia; Mytilida; Mytilidae
Source: RNAcentral